RNAcentral lists this long non-coding RNA (378 nucleotides) under Jatropha curcas. RNAcentral's name for it is "long non-coding RNA (JCUR_LNC002752)". Lineage: Eukaryota; Viridiplantae; Streptophyta; Magnoliopsida; Malpighiales; Euphorbiaceae. The record is from RNAcentral.
UGAAAUAAAACAGCUUUUCAAAAUGGGUAAGAAAAAGAAGAAGAAUGAGAAAAGUCCUGCAGAAAUAGCGCUGUUAGUUGAGAAUGUCAUGGCUGAGCUUGAGGUAACUGCUGAAGAGGAUGCAGAAUUAAAUAGACGGGGAAAACCUGCCAUCAAUAAACUUAAAAAGUCACCACUUCUUACUGAGGUUCUCUCAAAGUAAGUUGGUUUCUGCCCCAAGUGUGUUUGGUCUGUUUUUGCGGGGAAAACCUGCCAUCAAUAAACUUAAAAAGUCACCACUUCUUACUGAGGUUCUCUCAAAGUAAGUUGGUUUCUGCCCCAAGUGUGUUUGGUCUGUUUUUGCGGGGAAAACCUGCCAUCAAUAAACUUAAAAAGUCA